This 1329-nucleotide ribosomal RNA is filed under the name Triticum aestivum (bread wheat). RNAcentral describes it as "partial small subunit ribosomal RNA". Lineage: Eukaryota; Viridiplantae; Streptophyta; Magnoliopsida; Poales; Poaceae. The record is from RNAcentral.
AUGGCGCUUCGUGCAAGGACGCCGCUCCUGCUCGCGGCUCUCGCCGGCGCCGUCGCCCUCCUGCUGCCGGGCGCCGUCGAGGCCCGCGUCCUGCUCUCGCUCGACGACUUCGGCGCCGUCGGGGACGGCAUUGCCAACGACACCCAGGCACUCGUCGACGCGUGGAAGGCGGCGUGCGCCACUGGCGGAACCACCUACCUCAACGUCCCCGCCGGCAAGUCCUACCAGAUCUGGCCCGUCACGCUCGCCGGCCCCUGCCGCGGCGAGAUCAAGCUCAUGAUUUCCGGGAACAUCAUCGCGCCGGAGGAUCCGGAAGAGUGGUCGGACGGCGACCAAGGCAGGUGGCUCCACUUCUCGGGCGUGGGCGACCUGUCGCUGAGCGGUGGCGGCAUCGUCGACGGCCGGGGCCAGCAAUGGUGGGCGGGGUCCUGCGAUGACGAGAACUGCACCAAGUACCGCCCAUACGAAGUCGCCCCCAUGGCGCUCCACUUCGAGGACUGCCGGGACGUGAGCGUGAAGGGCAUCACGGUGCAGAACAGCCAGCGGCAGCACCUGGUCUUCACCCGCUGCCACGACGUCGAGGCCAACUAUCUCAGGGUGACCUCGCCGGAGUACAGCCCCGGCACCGUCGGCGUCCUCGUCGUCAGCUCCACUGACGUGCACAUCAAGCACGAUCUCUUCUCCGUAGGUGGCGACUGCGUGUCGAUCGUGGGCAACUCCUCGGAUAUCCGGCUGAGAGCCAUCUCGUGCGGACCUGGCCUCGGCAUCAGCAUUGGAGGCUUGGGCGAGAACCAAAGUAAUGACAUGAUACACAAGAUCAAGAUGGACACUAUGCUCCUCUCCAACACCAAGAACGGCCUACGCAUCAAGACCUACGAGAACGGCUGCGGCUACGCGCGCAAGGUGAAGUUCGCGCACAUCACGAUGAGGAACGUGGCCAACCCUAUCGUCAUCGACCAGCACUACUACUCCGCCUCCAACUCCAACCGGGGAACUCCCUGCGGAACCCCGAGCGCCAGCGCGGUGGCGGUGGAGAAGAUCAAGUACAUCGACAUCACCGGCACGUCGGCAACGGAGCGGGCCGUGACGUUCGCGUGCAGCGACGCCAUGCCGUGCAGGCGCCUGUAUCUGGACGGGGUGAACCUGAAGACGGUCGGCGGGGGGAGCACGUCCGCCUACUGCUACCAGGCGUUCGGGAAGCAAGUCGGGGACGUCCUCCCGGAGUCGUGCCUCGGCAAGGAGAAGGAGGACUUCCUCCGGCUGCAGGCCCCGACCGCCGCCGGCACGCCGCAAGGAGACACCGAAGACGAAGAAGAUGAUGAUUGGUGA